GUGUUGUGUUGUAAGGGCGCAUGGUGGAUGCCUUGGCAUAGUAGGCCGAUGAAGGACGUGAGAGGCUGCGAUAGGCCUCGGGGAGCUGCCAACUAAGCGUUGAUCCGAGGGUGUCCGAAUGGGGAAACCUGGCCGUCGUUGUGGGCGGUCGCCGUUAGAUGAAUUCAUAGUCUAAUUGGUGGUUACGCGGGGAAGUGAAACAUCUCAGUACCCGUAGGAGUAGAAAACAAUUGUGAUUCCGUUAGUAGUGGCGAACGAACGUGGAUGAGGCUAAACCGCGUGCGUGUGAUACCUGGCAGGGUUUGCGUGCGUGGGGUUGUGGGGAUGCAUUUGUGCAGGGUCUGCUAGUCCUGCGUUGUGUGGUGUGGGUGUAGCGGAAGUGGAUUGGAAUGUCCUGCCGUAGACGGUGAGAGUCCGGUACGUGAAACACUUGCAUCUGCAAUUGGUGUGUUGCCCGAGUAGCAGCGGGCUCGUGGAAUCUGCUGUGAAUCUGCCGGGACCAUCCGGUAAGCCUAAAUACCUGCUUAUGACCGAUAGCGGAUUAGUACCGUGAGGGAAUGGUGAAAAGUACCCCGGGAGGGGAGUGAAAUAGUACCUGAAACCAUGUGCUUACAAUCCGUCAGAGCC
This 627-nucleotide ribosomal RNA is filed under the name Corynebacterium sp. HMSC064E10. Its description in RNAcentral is "bacterial LSU rRNA". It matches the Rfam family "Bacterial large subunit ribosomal RNA", at positions 1 to 581 of the family's 2925-position model. Lineage: Bacteria; Bacillati; Actinomycetota; Actinomycetes; Mycobacteriales; Corynebacteriaceae. The record is from RNAcentral.